Long non-coding RNA from Heterocephalus glaber (naked mole-rat), 2513 nucleotides. RefSeq lists it as uncharacterized. The record is from RefSeq and is a predicted model, not a curated record. Lineage: Eukaryota; Metazoa; Chordata; Mammalia; Rodentia; Bathyergidae.
GGUGGAACUGGCCCCAGGGACCUAGCUCUUUCCAAGGAGCUCUGCUUCCCAUUGUUACAGCGUCCAGCUACCUGCCCCAGGGAACAAACCCCAUACUUGUAGGCCACUGCCCACACGCACAUACACACAUACAGACAUGUGCACACACAGCCUCACAACAUACAUGCAGAUGCAUGCACACACAGACAUGCACACUCUUUAAAAGACCCCUGUGUCCUAACACAGUGAAGAAAACCUGUGUCUGCCGUCACGACGUUCUGGGACUCUAAACACAGGGAUGUCUCUGGCAUCCCUGCCCACAUCCGGGAGGCCCCUACCCUCAGGCUGGCCCUCUGUACCCCUCCAGAUGUCCUGACAAAGUCCUGUGAAUGCUACGUGUCGUCAACAUGGGGAUAGCCCCAGCUUCCCCAGGAGUGACACUCCCUCUGGGGUUCCCUGAAACACGCGGGGUGUGUGUGUGUGUGUGUGUGUUUGUGUGUGUGUGAGAUGAACCUGGAGCUCCUCUGUUGCUAGGCGACAGGCCUCUGUUUGGUUCCUAUUAUGCCUGUUUCCAUGGUACCCACAAGGGGAGCUCCAGUGCACCCCGGCCAGGGGAUUCCCCUUCCCUCCCCUGCGGCCAGGGUCCCCCUCCUCUGAAAUCUGCCCGUAGCUGGGAGGAGGGAGCUAAGUGGGUGAUCUCUGUUUGAAGCAUGGCCCUGACAGGAAGCAGAGUGAGCAGCCUGCUUGUGGGCCCCAGAAGCAGCCCUUCUCAAGAGUAGCCUUCUGUGUGGCCUCCUCGGCUCAGCCCGGUUAAAGCUGGUGGAGACCCGCAGCCUGGUGCAGCAGGAAGGCUAAAAAGGUGGUCCAGGCAGAGAGCAGGAAGGAAGCGUGCAAAGGAGAGCAGGUUUUACAAGAUCAUCGCCGUUCUCAGCCCCUGGCCCGUCCCCACUGCCCUCCUCUUCCGCCCCAGCCUUGGGCCCGUCAGCCCGCCCUGCAGUGGGCGCAGGAAGUGUCGGAAGGCACGAGCUCCCCUGGCCUGCAAGGAAAACUGCCCAGCAACUGGAGACGUCCGCAGGCGCAGGUUCCGAUUGGCUGUCCAGACCGGGAAGGGCGGGGCUCCACGUGGUUAGGACCUGGAGAGAGGCGGCCAGGCUGGUGACUCAGGUUUGGGGCACACGGGGCGGGACCAAGUCCACAUGUGCUUCUCCUCGCGCCCCAUCUGCCGCUGCACUCAACUCAGCUUGAAGAGGCGAGGGCUCCAGCCCAGCCCCUCAGCCCGGCGUGUUGCCCCCCGGCCUCCUGGCCGCCCAGGGCCGAGGCAGCAGGAACUGCGCACGCCUUCCUGCUCCGCCAGUCCCCAAAAUAAAUCUUGCACAACGCGGCUCCGCGCCCAAAGCUGCAGAUCCCGGGAAGAGGGCUAAGAAGGGGUGUGGUGGGAAACGGAAUCCAGGCGGCCAACACAACAGGUUCGGCGAGGCCGGCAAGAAGCUGGGCUCUGGGCUGGGGCAAGAUCCUGCUGGACGCCGCGGCCCAAGGGGAACAAUAACCACCCCAUCUUCAGUGGACUGCAGGCCACAGCUGCUUGCUGUCCACACCACCCCGCCCCUGGAGGGCGCCUGUCCAGCGGCGGCUUCUGUGCCUGGUGAACCGAAGGUGGAAGGCGGCCCUGUUUCUGCAUCUGCCUUAAACGUCAAUCAGACUUGUUUUGCAGCAAGAGGACGUAAUCCAGGGCACUCCUAUCAUUAAGCUACAUCCCUGACCCUUUUUGAGACAAGGCUUUGUUAAACUGCCAGGCUGUCUCCUGUCUCAGCCUUCAGGGUGGCUGUGAUUACAAAUCUUUUUAGGAUUUGUAUCCUAAAAAGGACACAACCGAAGGGGAAAGACAGCCAUCCUGUUCUGGGCAGGGAGUCGGGUGAGUUAUGUGCACUUGACAUCCUGGCAGGUGUGGGUGGAUGGGCACCUGAGGUGACACCUUGGGCCCGCAGUCUUGAGCACCAGUUUCUCCCCUGAUGGAUGCAGGGACCCACCCCAGGGCUGAGCCACAGCAGGCGAGGGCAGCAGGCUGGGGUCUGAAACCCUCCCUGCCCUGGUCCGUAAACACAUCUGCCAGCUCAACCAACCAGAAGGAAAGCAUCCGGGGCUGGACACGCAGCUGGGUCUGAGCCCACUGGAGCACCAAGGCCCUGGGCAACACAGGAGACUCCCGGGCCUAACUCCUCACACAGCAGGUACCGGAGACCGCGUGCUGUCAGUAGCUUAAGACCGUGAAGUGCCCAGGCUCUGUGCAAGCUGACCACUCGAGCAGAGACUUGGGCUCUCCUGGGACCAGCACCUGACCCUCGACACAGCCACACCAUCAGAGGCUCCUGUGUGCACCACAGGCUGCCGCAGCCUGUCAGCUCUGGGUCACAGGCACUGGACCCUCUCCCUGGGGAGACCCGAAAUCCCACCUCACACUUCUGCUGUCACAAGGUGCCUUCCGCCCACUCCUCCAGCCCCUCCCGAGCUCCCCCCAACGGCAGACAGCCAAGGGU